Molecule: ribosomal RNA, 492 nt
Filed under: uncultured bacterium
Lineage: Bacteria
Description: partial 16S ribosomal RNA
Rfam family: Bacterial small subunit ribosomal RNA
Source: RNAcentral
AGCGAACGCUGGCGGUAGGCUUAACACAUGCAAGUCGAACGGAAGCACAGUAAGAGCUUGCUCUUACGGGUGGCGAGUGGCGUACGGGUGAGGUAUACAUCGGAAUCUACUUUUUCGUGGGGGAUAACGUAGGGAAACUUACGCUAAUACCGCAUACGACCUACGGGUGAAAGCAGGGGAUCUUCGGACCUUGUGCGAUUGAAUGAGCCGAUGUCGGAUUAGCUAGUUGGCGGGGUAAAGGCCAACCAAGGCGACGAUCCGUAGCUGGUCUGAGAGGAUGAUCAGCGACACUGGAAGUGGGACACGGUCCAGACUCCUACGGGAGGCAGCAGUGGGGAAUAGUGGACAAUGGGCGCAAGCCUGAUCCAGCCAUACCGCGUGGGUGAAGGAAGCCUUCGGGUUGGAAAGCCGUUUUGUGGGUAAAAAAAAGCUGCAGGAUGAUACCCCGCUGUUGUGACGGUACCCAGAGAAUAAGCACCGGCUAACUACGUG